GAUGAAGAACGUAGCGAAAUGCGAUAAGUAAUGUGAAUUGCAGAAUUCAGUGAAUCAUCGAAUCUUUGAACGCACAUUGCGCCCCUUGGUAUUCCGAGGGGCAUGCCUGUUCGAGCGUCAUUAUAACCCCUCAAGCUCAGCUUGGUAUUGGGGCCUGCCGCACGGGCAGCCCUUAAAAUCAGUGGCGGUGCCAUCUGGCUCUAAGCGUAGUAAUUCUUCUCGCUAUAGAGUCCCGGUGGAUGCUUGCCAUUAACCCCCAAUUUUCUAUGGUUGAACUCGGAUCAGGUAGGGAUACCCGCUGAACUUAAGCAUAUCAAUAAGCGGAGGA
This 328-nucleotide unclassified non-coding RNA is filed under the name soil metagenome. RNAcentral's name for it is "partial contains 5.8S ribosomal RNA, internal transcribed spacer 2, and large subunit ribosomal RNA". The stretch from base 1 to 120 matches the Rfam family "5.8S ribosomal RNA", at positions 35 to 154 of the family's 154-position model. The record is from RNAcentral.